This 517-nucleotide long non-coding RNA is filed under the name Astyanax mexicanus (Mexican tetra). Its description in RNAcentral is "lncRNA (ENSAMXG00005001375.1)". The record is from RNAcentral. Lineage: Eukaryota; Metazoa; Chordata; Actinopteri; Characiformes; Acestrorhamphidae.
UCAGAGAUCAGCACUGAUUUGCUGCAUUUGAUGAUGUAAUAAUAAACACUGAUUCAGUGUAAUUUUGUUUUCUGAGUUUGAAAAACUACUUUAGUAAAAUGAUUCUAAUGUUUGAUGGACAGGAAUUGUGAAGCACGGUAAGCCUCAUAGCGCUGCAGGACUUUUAUUUUGACAGCUGGUUUCCAGCUGUAACGCCAUUGGCUCCUGAGCUGCAGUGGAGUGAUGUGAUUGGCUGAUGAGUUCCGGGGUUCUGCAGCUGCGGGUCUUUAGUGCAGAAACAGCAGCAGCAGCAGACUGUUGGAGGUUCAGGUGAUUCAGGGCUGUUGAUUGGAUGUGAUCAGAUCAGGUGAAUAAUGGAAGGGUGCUGCAGGUUUCCCCCGGUCUCCAGUAAAGUGGAGCAGCAGAAGAUCCAGCUCUGAUCAGCAGCAGCUCCACACCUCUGUACUCAGACUGAUCUGCUGGAGGAACACCAUCAGCUCACCUGCUGCAGAAAUAUAUACCAUCCUGUUCCAAGUAU